ACUACAUUUGCAUGUUUAGGCACUCGCUAAGCUAAUAGAUAACCAGGACAGGCACUGAACCCAUAAACAACAAGACACAGCUUCUUCCUUCAAAGAGGAGUACAGUGAGUACACAGGGACAGUGUGACCUACUAAGAAAAGGUGUGGACUUCGGAGUCAUAGUCCAAAGUCUUAAUCCUGUUUGCUGCCAAACACCUCUCUGAGCUCUGCUUUUUCACCUGGAAAAUCAAGAUGCCAGAGACAGAGGAAUCCACCUGAAAUGCAGAUGUGAUCCUGGGACCUUCUCUCUGUCUGCCCACUGCCCACUCCCAAGAGGAAACUUCUGUUUCUCAGCCUUGCUUUCAGGGCCCUCUGAGACCUGGUCUUCCACCUUCUUGGCCCGGAAAACCCAAAACCAAACCACAUAAUGAGUCUUGUGAGCAAGCCACUACCUCUGAGCAUUAGACCCUGUACUUCAAACAACACAGCAGACGUGGGAAGAGUCCUUUGAUUUGUAAUGCUGAGGCAUGUUCUGUACCCUAGCUGGAAUGAGGCUGAGAAAGCAAGGAUACGGCAAUCUAGAAUUUGAGAGUGGGAAGUGGGCUCUGGCCUCUCACAGGGCAGGAAUUCCCUAGAUGCAGAAAGACACUCAGAGAGUUGGCGUCCGAUGAAGUCCACUGCAGAACUGUUACAGGAGCUUCAACCAACUCAGCCACCCACGUGGAUGACACUCCCUGGGGAAAAGAGGAGAACUUGAACAAAGCUCAAAGGGGGUGCCCAACUAACUCUGCAACACUUGGGGAUUUAGGCAAAAGUGAAAGUUCUCCGUUUCAGCUGGCAGCAGACUGCUGCUCGGUGGGUCUCCUGUUCAGCGGGGCAGGGAGCCCUACGGGAAGUCCUCCAGCUGGCGUCUGUGUGAGAGCUUGGCUCAAGUGGCACCGAGUGUCUCACCUCUGUUCAUGGAAAGGCUACUGCGGAGCUGUCGCUACAAGCAGGAUUCUGCUGUUGGCAAAGCAGGG
Long non-coding RNA from Bos taurus (domestic cattle), 998 nucleotides. The record is from Ensembl. NCBI's taxonomy places the organism in Eukaryota, Metazoa, Chordata, Mammalia, Artiodactyla, Bovidae.